Molecule: transfer RNA, 73 nt
Filed under: Trichonephila inaurata madagascariensis
Lineage: Eukaryota; Metazoa; Arthropoda; Arachnida; Araneae; Nephilidae
Rfam family: tRNA
About the family: Transfer RNA (tRNA) molecules are approximately 80 nucleotides in length. Their secondary structure includes four short double-helical elements and three loops (D, anti-codon, and T loops).
Source: Rfam by way of RNAcentral
GCCCAGCCAGUAGAAUGGCUAUGACCCUCGUCUUGUAAACGAGUGGGUUCGGGUUCGAAUCCCGAGUAAGACA